CUGGGACAAGCCCUGGAAACGGGGUCUAAUACCGGAUACUGACCCUCGCAGGCAUCUGCGAGGUUCGAAAGCUCCGGCGGUGAAGGAUGAGCCCGCGGCCUAUCAGCUUGUUGGUGAGGUAAUGGCUCACCAAGGCGACGACGGGUAGCCGGCCUGAGAGGGCGACCGGCCACACUGGGACUGAGACACGGCCCAGACUCCUACGGGAGGCAGCAGUGGGGAAUAUUGCACAAUGGGCGAAAGCCUGAUGCAGCGACGCCGCGUGAGGGAUGACGGCCUUCGGGUUGUAAACCUCUUUCAGCAGGGAAGAAGCGAAAGUGACGGUACCUGCAGAAGAAGCGCCGGCUAACUACGUGCCAGCAGCCGCGGUAAUACGUAGGGCGCAAGCGUUGUCCGGAAUUAUUGGGCGUAAAGAGCUCGUAGGCGGCUUGUCACGUCGGUCACGUCGGAUGUGAAAGCCCGGGGCUUAACCCCGGGUCUGCAUUCGAUA
Molecule: ribosomal RNA, 490 nt
Filed under: Streptomyces anthocyanicus
Lineage: Bacteria; Bacillati; Actinomycetota; Actinomycetes; Kitasatosporales; Streptomycetaceae
Description: bacterial SSU rRNA
Rfam family: Bacterial small subunit ribosomal RNA
Source: RNAcentral